RNAcentral lists this RNase P RNA (254 nucleotides) under Planctomycetales bacterium. RNAcentral's name for it is "partial RNase P RNA component class A". It matches the Rfam family "Bacterial RNase P class A", at positions 18 to 278 of the family's 367-position model. From Rfam's summary of the family: Ribonuclease P (RNase P) is a ubiquitous endoribonuclease, found in archaea, bacteria and eukarya as well as chloroplasts and mitochondria. Lineage: Bacteria; Pseudomonadati; Planctomycetota; Planctomycetia; Planctomycetales. The record is from RNAcentral.
CCGCCGGCCCCCAGCGGGGCGGGAGGAAAGUCCGGGCUCCACAGGACAGGGUGGUGGGUAACGCCCACCGGCCGCGAGGCCAGGGAAAGUGCCACAGAAAGCAAACCGCCCCUCGGCUUGUCCGCGGGGUAAGGGUGAAACGGUGCGGUAAGAGCGCACCAGCAGGUCGGGUGACCGGUCUGGCUCGGUAAACCCCACCCGGAGCAAGGCCAAACAGGGAGCCAUCCCGACUUGUCGGGAUGCGGGCUGGUCCG